Molecule: ribosomal RNA, 253 nt
Filed under: uncultured bacterium
Lineage: Bacteria
Description: partial 16S ribosomal RNA
Rfam family: Bacterial small subunit ribosomal RNA
Source: RNAcentral
UACGGAGGGGGCUAGCGUUGUUCGGAAUUACUGGGCGUAAAGCGCACGUAGGCGGCUUUGCAAGUUAGAGGUGAAAGCCCAGGGCUCAACCCUGGAAUUGCCUUUAAAACUGCAUCGCUAGAAUUGUGGAGAGGUAAGUGGAAUUCCGAGUGUAGAGGUGAAAUUCGUAGAUAUUCGGAAGAACACCAGUGGCGAAGGCGGUUUCCUGGAGCUAACUUGACGCUGAGACGCGAAAGCUGGGGGAGCAAACGGG